Molecule: ribosomal RNA, 253 nt
Filed under: uncultured bacterium
Lineage: Bacteria
Description: partial 16S ribosomal RNA
Rfam family: Bacterial small subunit ribosomal RNA
Source: RNAcentral
UACAGAGACUGCAAGCGUUAUUCGGAUUCACUGGGCGUAAAGGGUGCGCAGGCGGCCGAGUGUGUGAGGCGUGAAAGCCCGAGGCUCAACCUCGGAACUGCCUUCGAUACUGCGGGUCUCGAGUCCGGGAGAGGUGAGUGGAAUUCCUAGUGUAGAGGUGAAAUUCGUAGAUAUUAGGAAGAACACCAGUGGCGAAGGCGGCUCACUGGCCCGGUACUGACGCUGAGGCGCGAAAGCGUGGGGAGCAAACAGG